UACGUAGGGUGCGAGCGUUGUCCGGAAUGAUUGGGCGUAAAGGGCUCGUAGGCGGUUUGUCGCGUCGGGAGUGAAAACACCGGGCUUAACUCGGUGCUUGCUUUCGAUACGGGCAGACUAGAGGUAUGCAGGGGAGAACGGAAUUCCUGGUGUAGCGGUGAAAUGCGCAGAUAUCAGGAGGAACACCGGUGGCGAAGGCGGUUCUCUGGGCAUUACCUGACGCUGAGGAGCGAAAGUGUGGGGAGCGAACAGG
This 253-nucleotide ribosomal RNA is filed under the name uncultured bacterium. RNAcentral describes it as "partial 16S ribosomal RNA". It matches the Rfam family "Bacterial small subunit ribosomal RNA", at positions 524 to 776 of the family's 1533-position model. The record is from RNAcentral.